This is a long non-coding RNA of Mustela lutreola (European mink), 20833 nucleotides long. RefSeq lists it as uncharacterized. The record is from RefSeq and is a predicted model, not a curated record. NCBI's taxonomy places the organism in Eukaryota, Metazoa, Chordata, Mammalia, Carnivora, Mustelidae. The transcript has 4 exons.
CAAAAACAAAAACAAAAAACAAAAAUAGCUACAAUUCUUAAAGUGCUUGAUCUGUGAAAGAUAAUGCCGAGUGUGUAGCAUUUAUUUUCUACGUCAUUCCUUCCAAAGUCCUGUGGGAGGCAGCUACAUUCCUUGAGCCCACUUUUCAGGGAAAGAGACCAGGAGUCGGAAAAGUUGGGUGACUGACCUGACGGCAAAAAGCCCGUGUGCGGACUCAGGCAGCCUGGGUCUGGAGAUCCGGAUUGAACCACCGGUAUCGUCAACCCAAUAUGUGAUAGAUAUUGCUGCUGUUAUUACUAUUGUGCAAAGGCAAAUAUAAAUUUCUGAGCCCAUCAAUUCAACAAAUUGAGUGCCUCUGCGCCAGGUCUGUGCUAAGUUCACAGACAGGCAAAUAUCAACUUAUUAGAGCGAUGGGCAAGGCUAGCUUCCAUUAACUGGUGAGCUAGGCCUCUUGUAUCUUUCCCUUUUUGAAGACGGACAAACCAAACCAAAGACUUCUGAUAAUGACUCGUUGCAGUUUAUAACAAUUAGAGAUUUCUAAAUGGAAGCCACAGUGGUGAUCAAGGUAUUGAAUGGACAAGUUGUUAGUCUCUGUCGUCUCCUGCACUCUUGCCCAAGUUCUGCUAUUUUGCAAAGAAGAGGAAAUACCUGCCCCCACUGACUUCCACUCCAGGUUGCAGUGUCCGUGGCGUAUGGAACUGGAAGAAUUGGGAGACUUCAUGCUCUAAGCGGGGCCGCACUCUGACAUGAUUAGGCCAGUCUUAGAUGACUGGGAAAAUAAAGUCUUUGGUUUGUCAGUCCCUAUAUGUGGAAUUAAUAAAUGAAGCUUUAAGAUUUUUCUAUUUUCAGGGUCUCUAAAUCUGGCUUGCUUGCUUAUCUGUUAGAAACCUUCAGUUUGAUUCUUUACAUUCAUAAUAUCUAGAAUAAGUAUCCACCUAUAUGCACUGUAUGUUUUAUGUGUGAAAGGUUUUCACGUGAGUGAUUGAAAGAUUCAUCUUGGAGCACGUGAUACUCAGGAGUGGUACAGCAGCUACCGUGGAAGAACACGGCAGAGUAACAAGCCCUGAAAAGACCUGCGCCUCGUGGAGAGACGGGAUGUAAGCACGUGUAGGUCUGCGGGCAGUAGCACCACCACUGCCGGACACGAAAUAAGAUAAAGGCGGCUGGCCGCGGACACGUGGAAGGAAUACAGAAGGACAAAGGACGUUUUCAUAAGACCCAGUUACAGGAAGUGCGGCCUCACGGUGGGAUGGAGAACUUACGAACUCUUUGGUAGCCUCAGGCCGGGGCAUGGGCAGCGGUUAGGGCUCGGCCUGUGGUGUCAGAUAGACUCGGACCAAACCCUGGCUUAGAGCUUAGUAGAUGUGCCAUUUUCGGGCAAGGGAUUUCCAGCCUCAACUUUCUGUUUUCUCAUUUUUAAAAUGGGGAAAAUCAUAGUAGCUCCUUCACUGGGUUGUUAGAAAGAGGAAAUGACUUUCAUACCUAAGUGCUUAAAAUCUGGGCAGUCUGACUCCGACCUUCAGCUGCAAACACACAAACUACAGCUAGGGUCGUCAUUAGUGUUGUUGCAACUGUCGUUCUCACGAUGUCAUGUGAGACAGAGGGAUUAGGGAACCUCCAAACGUGAGAGACAGUCCGAGGUCGUUACAGAAACCUAGGCAUAAAUGAUCCGGAUCUAUAUUAAGGUAGCGGCUUUAGAGGCAGACGUAGAAGGGAAUAGACCACAUCUAAAAGAUGCCGCGUCCUGCAAAUCCAGAAGGGAGUGUGGUGUGAAGUGCGGGUGCGGACUGACACACGAGAGAACAGGACUGCGACCCCCGGUGCUCCGAACUUGGGUGACGCCACUGAACGUAACACUCAAGUUUCCUUUUAUGACGGGAAAAUGAUCAGCUCAGUUUUUGAAAUGUUAGACUUUGUAUGUCAAAGGGAAAUCUCAGUGAAGAUCACCUCUAGACAAUCAACAUAUAGUCAGUGAGAAGUUGAAGACGGAAGUAGAAAUUUGUUCUUGCGCCACAUUGCUAUUGUGUCACUGGAGGAAGCAGGUAGGGUUGGAAUAUUGUCCCCCUCAUCUUAUUACUGACCUAUUUCUGGGGUCCGGGUGACUCGUCACCCUUAGGUGUCUUCGUUUAGAAUAUUUUUAUAUUUUCUGGUUCUGCUUCCAUGUAUUUCCUUAUUUUAAAACUACUUCGGCCUUGUCUGCUUUACUAAAAUAUUACAAAGGUUGAUGAUCUCAUGGCGCAGUGGCCCAGUGAUUCUCUCCAUAGUUUCCGCCCAUUUGAUCAGCGUUAAUGCCUUCAUUACUGUGUAUUAAUAGUUCAUCGAAAUGUUUCUGAGAUUGAGUGUGAUGAUUAUUACCACAUAAUUGUUUCAGCGGCGUUCAGACGGCUGCUGAUGGAGUGUGGAGCACGAACACCAGGCCCUUCCCUUUUCCCUGACACUGACCUUUUGCUCAGGUCAGAGUACAACGUUUUAUAAUUAGCCUUCGAAGCCGAACACCCAGCAGUUGGUAGGAAGCAGCCAUAUCCAUGUAAGAGCCCGAAUAACUUUCAGUGUCGUUAUAGUAACUUGUAAAAAAGGAAGUUCUAUUUUCUUGAGGUAAAUGGGGGUAUUUCAGGGUUUCUCAACUUCAGCAUUAUUGAUAUUUAGGGCUAGAUAAAUCUUUGCUGUGGGGGCUGUCGUGUGAUUUGUGGGAUGUUUAACAGCAUCCCUGACCUCUGCCCACUAAGUGAUGGUAGCAGCUCCAACCCCCAAAAUGUGACCAAAAAAACUCCAGAUCAUGCCAGAUGUCCCCACUGAAAACCAGGUACUUAAAUUCUUCCAUUUAGUGAUUCACAAUGCUAAUUUUGAAUGUGUUUUAAAUCUUUAAUACCAUAUGAAAUAGCACCUGCUACAUAUGUGUUUUAUCACCAAGGGUUCAAGAGAUCCUUGCUUCUCAACAGAUAAUGUGCCCGGUUUGGACUUGGAUGCUUCUACAGUGGAAGCCUUACCAUUUCCAUGUGCAGAACGAUACAGAGAGAAAAGGACAACAGAGACUUGUUCUCUUGUGUUCCCUCUGACAGUGUCUUGCUGAAUGUUCUUAAGCAAAUAUUUAAAAUCUAUUCAACAUUCACUCAUCUGAGACUCAUUAAGUAACUCCUGCGUGCCUCUACUACCGCUGGCCGCUGGCCGCGCGGAGGUGAAUGAGACGGUCUCUCUAACCUCUGAGAGCUCUUGGUCAAGCAGAGAAGCCAGAUAAGAAAACAGUUACACCAUAAUGUGGUAAAUAUGGUAGCUGAGGAUUACAAAACAGAAAGGGUAAUUCUUCUUGAGGAAAUCAAGGAAGGCUUUUCAGUGUAAGUCAAACUAGAACAGACUCUUAAGAUGAGUAGGAAUUUGCCAGACGCAGGAGGAGAACAAGAACUUUGGGCACAGGGAACAGCCUCUGCAGAAGCUCAGAGCCUGGGCUUUCAGGAAACAAGCAGACACUCCCCUGUGCAAGUCUGUGGCUUUGACCAGAUGACAUGGAUAUGCCUGGAUGAGGACCUGCUUGGUAUCCUUGACCCUGCUGGCUUCAGAGCACUGGAUUAGGGGCCAAGGCAAUCUGUUGAACCCCUGUGCUUGGGGAGAGAAGUGUCGGAUUCACCUGUGCUGUAUGAACCAUGGACGUCCCUGGAGAUCUACCAGGGUCUACCAGGAGCUUGAAAAUCACAAGACAGUACCUCAGCCCCGAUCAUCAGACUGUGUGCACAUCCUGCCUGAUAUCAAGCGUGGCCUGAAGGAGCACAUUCAGGUUGCGUCCCCCAGAUCGGGGAAAGAGUGAUACCUGCUUGACAGUGUUUCUACAACAUUAUCUUGUGCUCAGAGAGAGGAUACGUGUCCAUUUCCUCCGGGAUGGCAAGAGUGUGCUCACCGUGCCUGACGAGCCUCCAGAACCCAGAAGGCAGAGAGGCUGAACCGUGAUGACUUUGGCCAUUGAUAGCAGGACAAUACCGGAACCCAGGAAUGCAUCAUCGUAUCAGGCACCUUGAAGACUUGGAAAGGGGCUUUCCUUCCCUGGGGUGCCUACUCCAGAGGGAGACCUAUUUGUCAUGUUGAAAGUUUGCUUUCCAGACGUAUUUUCACCACAGACAUGGCAGAUUCUGAGGUGAAUUUACCCUAAUCUUAGGUUGUACUCUGAGCCAGCCCAGGAUCCCACACAGCAAUAGAAUAUUCCCUACCAUACAAAUGCCCACCUAGUGUGUACAUAGCUCUGGGCUCAGUGAUACUGGAGAUGAGGUCUAAAAUGCAAAAAGCCACAGUUUUCAGGAAAAAUGUUCUGUCCCUCACCUACUUCAGAGCUGGGCUCUCUUGGUGUGUGGAUGGGGAAGUAGAGAUGAGGUCAGGAGAGCCCAGGCCAGGACUGAGCUUUCUGCGUCAAGCUUGGAAUCCAUUUCACACUUCGGUGGUGGGAAGUGACCUGAGUGUUGCGUGGCAGCACACACAUUGCUUUUCCAGGUCUUCUUUUGCUUCCCAGCCUGUUCUCCCUCUUUGUCUUCUUCCUGACAAGAAAGAGGAAGGGGGACAAUAGAUUCGGCUUUACUACUCUCAUUCUGCUUUGAGUACACGGAAUCCUGCAGUUGGGGGACCAGCACCGCUGUACGUACACACCCAUGCACCUGCACACCUCUCACAGCUCGCCUCACCUUCUGUGGGGCGAGAGAGGAAGGGAAAUCCGUUGACCUAUGAAGAAAAGGCCAUUGGGAAAUAGUCACCUUUCCUUUGACCCAGGAGGGCGAACAAGACCCAGCAGCUUGUCUGCUGCCUCUGCCUCUGUCUGCAGCCCUCCGGGCUGCAGGGUGAGCAAAGCCAAAGCAAACUUCCUUCCCGCCUCUGGUCACCUCUGAGAAGCCACAGCACGCCCUCCUUCCUUCCUCCAAGCCCAGACUUUGGAGAUUCCCUAGACAAUACUCCAAACAUAGCCCAACAGAAGGGAGCUCUUUGGUAUUAGAAUAGCAAAUAUGUUUGGAAAGAAUAACACCUUUGGCUGUGAGAAACAGAACAGAGACUGUCCUUUUCAGAGGACAUUCCUUUCAUGUGGACUGAUUCAUUUUCUCUAAUUGUACAGAAACAGUUCUUUACUUUUUUUAAAAAGCAGUUCUUUAAUAAAAAAUUUUCCUUCUCAGAAAAGAUGGAAGACUAUCUUGCUGGCUUGAUGGACUGCAUCCUUCAAGACAAGCCUAGGACAGUGGAGAGGGUAGCCUGAGGAACAUGGUCUCCUUCCCCCAUGCCGACAGGUAAUGACUGGGGACAUGGGGGCUAUGGAAUAGAGAUGAUCCAGGCAGAGUGGCUGAUGGAUGAUUCUGACAAUUUUGUGGUGGUGCCUAGAGAUACAAAACUCAAAUACAGGUAUCCUACUGGGUCAUGUUCUGGAUGAAAGAAAAUAGCUUCAUGGACAUUGUUUUACAAGUUGACGUUGUAAUAGAGAUAAUAGAUAAAAUGCUGAGGCAAUGUUAAAUUUACUGUAGUUUAUGUAUGCCAUGUGUAUGUAAGAUGGUAUCUUCUUUUAAACAAAUAGAAACUGUAGUAUUUAUAGGUAAAGGGCUUUGGUAUAUGUGGCUUGCCCUUUAAUGUUGAAAAAAAAAAAUCCUUCUCUAUCUACCUGUCUGUACAUAGAGCAUAAGUGAGCGCGGGAGUCCAAGGGACCAAUGGUUCAAAGAGAGCAGACCUGGUCAUGGGUGUCGUCAUGCAGCUCUUCGUUGGGUUUUCUAUUAUUGCCAAGUUAAAACAACACGUUGACUCUGCCUUCCUCUCAUCAAGAGGCACACAUCAUCUUUUAAUUAUUUUAAUAUUUUAUUGUGAAAAAUUUUAAACAUGCAAUCAGAGAAAAAUGUAAUGAAUUCUUAUGGCCCACCUUCUACCUUAAAAUUAUUGAUUGGCAUUUGUGACCAUACCUGUAAACCUUUAAAAGAACAUAGAGACGCAGUCCAGUUGACUUCAUGUUCUCCAUCCCUUGGAGGCAGGGCUAAGCCUCGCUUGGACCAAGCUCUCUGACCCUCUUGGGCUCUCCCCGUCCUGUAUCACUUGAGGAAUACACUUUCUGCAGCAGGUUGCCAUAAUGCUGUGGCCUUGGACUCAUCUUCCAAGGCUCUGGGCAUGGGUUUGCCUUGUUUUCUAGUCAGCUCCCAGGUCCCUCUUUAAUGAAUUUCCUCCACAUAACAUGCAGGGAAGUCAUCUGACGGAAAUAAUUGCACUGCACGACAGUAUAAUCCCUUAGUUACCUGCUACCUGCGAGCAUACAAAAGAGAGAGAGAGAGCGCGCGCGCACAAGCAACUGGAAAUGUAAUUAAAACCUCAGCACCCUAUAUAAAUACAUUCUAAUGUUGAUAAGAAAAUGGAUCAGUCCUGAAACACAUCUAAAACAAGAAUUUGGGAUUCCAGUUGAAUAGCACUGAUGGAACACAUCUUUUAUUUUAUCUUUUUUUCUUUUCUAACAUACCACUAAAAAUAAACGAAUACUACAAGCUGAUAAGAGUGGAAGAAGGUAAAAGAUUUCACAAAUUUGGGGAGAUAGAAAUUAGAUUGGGGUUUGGUAACUAAUUUAAUAGGGUGAGAAAGUUAACCUGCUUCAGGGCCUGCCCGGAGGGAUUCAAGACACAAAUCAUGUCAUUCCGCAAAUCUUAGUGGACUCAGGAUUUGCAGGCCCCAGAGAAGGAAAAAUGUGGGGUAAAGUGGGAAUUGGCGUGGAGAGAUUCAAAGAAAGUCUGUGAGAUCAGACCCCGCAGUUUGCCGUGAGCAGCCACCUUGCCUCCAUCUCCGCCGUCUCAUCAGCAGGUCUCUUCCCCCGGGCACGUGUGACCAGCGGAAGUAGGAUCUUCAGUGCCCUUAAGUCUGAUCGGAUUAGAGAACCAAUUCCAGAAAAUCCAGGACAGAUCCAGAGAACUCAACUCCUCUUGGACCGUCUCAGGUACUAAGUUCCGUAUCACUCAGCUUCGGGCCAGAGAAGCGCAAUGUGUACGUUUGUGUGUCUCGGUGCGCACACAGACAGACUUCUAGGGAAGCCGACGUGCACAGCCGUUCGGGGCCGAGCGUGUCCAGACUUGGUGGGGCCGCACCGGAAGACCCUGAGCAGGGCCAGAAAGAAGCUGGCUGUCCAGCGGAGGCUGGCCGUAGGCGAGCAGGAGCGUGGCUCGCGCUAAGGCCGGUCAUUGUCAUCGUGGACGUGCUCGCCUGCGCCUCUGCACUAACCGUCCUGGACUGGGCAGCGCCGUGGAAGGCCGGCGGCAGGCGGGCAGGCAUAUGGACAUGGUGGCCGUGACCUGUUGCCUCUGUACCUGGGGUCUCGGCGCUUAGUUCGCAGGUCUCUCCUGUUAGAAAGAUGAAUUCCGCUCAGAGGCAUGAAAGCAGGUGGGAAGGAACAUUCCUUCGAGAUCCUUAAUGAAUCAGUGACCCGACUGGUUGUCCAGGGCUAGUCAGGGAUGGUGAUAGUUUUGAAAAUGAUGACUGCUCUUUGUCACACGCCUGCUGUGCGCCAUCUGACUGCUCACGUUUCUCCACGGCUCGUGAGAAGAGGCGCUGCUUGCUUUCGCUCCCGUCUGCCUUCCCGGGGAUUUGCACAUGCGCUAACCUCGCGGCCCGGCAGUCCUGUCCCAGGUUUGACCCAGGAGGCGUGGGAACAGGUGUUCAGACAGGAAACCUGCUCGGAAGCCAGAUGUGGUGCGCAUGACGACACAGUUGGGUUCGCUGAAUGUGAGCUUCCUGUCCCGUGCUACAACUGCCCGGGUAGGUGGCGUCUAGCUUUCUGGGCAUCAUCCCGCGUGUCAGGGCUCAGGAGACUCGUGCGAAUGCCGGUGUUCUGGUACUGGUCGUGCUCCGAGUCACAAACUGUCCUUCACUCUCACUCAGGGGUCUCGGGUCUUUUGCUGGUAUCCACGACGAAGUUGAUGACCUCGGAGAAGGUAAACAUGUGAGAGUCUUCAGAGUUCUAGUGCUAUACAUACAAGAUCAGUAAUUACUAUAAUGCUCUUCUGAGGGAAGAAUUAUUUCUUGGAUUCAGAAACUGGGAUUUAAGGAGGCGAAAUGGGCAGAGGUGACCAUUUAUUAGUGGCAAGAGAAGGUAAUAAUACUUAAGAGCUUUGUCUGUAGCCUUGGACUGUCUGUGUUAAGUCCUGACUCCAUCACCAAAUAGCGCCUGUAAGAGGGGACCUGGUUAGGACUGCUACAGGCUCACUUGUCUUGCCCUGAAGGCUUGAGCAUAAAUGUUCAUGAGGAAAUAAGACUUCAUACAUUUAAUAUGAGCUGAAUUAUCUAUUUAAAUGAAUAGGCAAAUUAUCAGGAUCUCUGUUGUCAUUUGUAGAUCUUCUCAUAGAAAGACUGCAACUACCUGAUUUUUUGAAACUUUGAGCUCUGAAGUUUUGCAAUCAAGUGUUUUAACUUUUUACAUUGUGCUUCCUUUCUUAUUUGUCUCCAAAAUUCAAAGGUGCACUAGUAGUGUUGCAGUGGAUUUGUCCUACAUACCCCUCUGACCCUCCAGUUAGGGAAAAGUGGUAAUGAAACGGGAUAGGUUGUUCUUGGAUGGGGGAUAUGCAAGAUGAUAAAACUGCUUCUGAGGAUGUAAUGCCAGUGCUUCUGUUGGAUUCCUGAUUGAUGCUUGGGUCUGAGAGGAGUCUUUCUUUUCUAGACUAUAUUGGACCAUAUCAAGUAAGAAUAAACUUAAGGUCCCUAAAGUCAACAAAACAAAAACUUACAUAAGGGAAGAUCAAGUCAUCAGUUUGAAUUUAAAUAAUUUGUUUUAUUAGAUACGAAGAUUGAGUGAUAUAAAUGUAUGUUUAUUCCACAUACCUAGUGUAUCACCUAGUGUGUAGUAGUAGCUCAGUAAUUCUUGUCACAUAAUUGAUGAAUGAACAUGGAUACACAGGGAUAGCUUUGGCAAGUGGAAAGUGUGGGCUAGAGACAAGUCGGGUCUCCUGUUCGAACUGUAUUUGAACUAUAUGUUCAAAUAUGUAUGUAUUUUACUAUGUAUCAUAUAUUUAUUUUAUCUAGCUAUCAUCUGUCUUUUUAUGAUAUUCAAAAUAAAAAGACCAAAAUAUUGUCUCAAAUAGAUUUUUCUGGGAGGUGAGAUUAGGUAGGCCUUUAACUUGCUACUUUCUGUGCUUAUGCUUUUGGUGGGAGUUGAGAGGAAAUGCAUUUUUAAUAAAAUUUUUAAAAAUUAGAAGGAAAAAAGUAGAGCCAUGCCCUCUCUUCACGAAGCCCGAGUGGAAAUGGGUAAUGGACUUGCUAAACACAGUGGGGAGGCAGCUUUCUAGGUUGACGGGGGGAGAUGCUCCCUCCUCCCCUCUUCUUUCUCCGUUUUCCUUGCUCGCAUCCGGCCUUCGGAGAGGCUUCCAGCCAAGGCCGGUUCCCGAAAGGGUUGGUGGGGUUGCGGAGGAGGGCCAUUUAACCGAGAGACAGAAGUGGUGUAUUUCUAGCAGUUAACUGAAAGCAUUAGCCUUGCUUCUUCCAGCAUUUCACAGCUAAUAAUCUGUAUCAGAGCUUUGAGGUGGAAAAAUAAUUCUGAGAAACUUGGAUUCUUCCGAAAAGUACAAGAAUUAAUUUUUUUUCCUUUAUCCACUGUCCUUUCUUUUAUUUGCAGGUUUUUUUUUUUUUUUUUUUAAAUCAUCUUUGGAGAUGACCGUUCAGAUUCUAGGAAUUUAAAAUCUGUGUUAGGUGUGGGUCAUUAAGGUCAUGAGGAAUCCCGGCACCAGUUACAUUAGUACAACCGACUCUAACGAUAGCUCGAGUCAAACCCUAGUAUGUUUUUACGAGGGAAACUCAUGAGUGUGUACCUGAAAGCUAAGUUGUUCUUAAAACUAUCCCAUAAUUAAUAUCUUCUUGCCAGAGGAGAAAUGCAUUUUACUUAAUUUAGUUUUCCUUACUUAGUGCCUCUUAUUUCAAGUGAAGAUUCCCUAGGAAAGGAAGAAUGUUCUGUUGAGCAUAUUUUAUUGGAUACUGUCAUGUACAUUAUGCCAUCGAGGGUGGGUGUUGGCAUCCUGUUUUACUAAUAGUAAAAUGAGGAUCAAACCCUGGCUCUGACAGCUUAACCAACCGGCUCAGAGUCAAACCACUGGUGAGAGGCUGGGCUGAAAUUGAGGCCCCGUCAGAUCUCAAAGCCAGUCUAGCUCUUUCGCCGGAGCUACACCAGAAUCUCACAUUAGGCAAUUUUAGAGGUCAACUAAACAGUAAUUGAAAAUACUCAGUUUCAGCUUAACUCAGGAUAUAGCAUUGAAAGUAAAACCUCACAUACUGUUUAUUCUCAGCUUACCACAGAUUUAGAAGAGCAGUUGUGUUUGCUGCCACUAACACCAUAAUUCCAGCAAAUUUUCACCAAGUAACUCAAGGAAAAUUUUCUCACUCAAACAUACUCCCUAAUUGAAUAACUAACAAAAAUGAAAUUUAUAUAGAAUUAUUUAAUUAUACCAUGUGUGACAUUUUACACCCUAUGAGGGUCUUUAGUGAAAUAACCUUGUAAAGCUUCUUAUUAUACUAGGGAAAAUGUCUGCACAUGAAAAAGCAGACCCGAGGGUAGACAGGUUCCCGUGGGACUGACAUGUUUCCCCUCAGUUAUCUUAGGUGGUUAGAAAAGAGUUAUUGAUUACAUCAUCAGAGCUUAGGGAAGAUCUAUUUCAGAAAUACCUCCAGUUCCCUGUUACUGAACAUGCCAAGCUCUUUUCUGCCUUGGACCUUUCCACUGGCAGUUCGCAGCACAGGAAUGCCUCCCUGGCUUAUCGUGCGGUUGCCUUCUCCAGCUCUCGGGUCAGCGGCCGUCUCCCUACGGAGGCUUGGGUUGUUUUGCCCCCAGCCUCCAUCCGUCCUUCUUCUCGAGUUCCGUUCUUACCCCACUUUCAAGCCUGCGGACUAGGUGGGGCGGCGUGGGUCAGCAAGCCUCUUCCCUGGCCUUGGCCACCGUGAUCGGUUCAAGGACGGGCCUAGAACCCAGUUAGAGCGAAGGAGAUGUAAGAAGACAUUCAUUAGGUUUUCCGACGAAGAAAAGCUCCUUUCUACUCACCGAAAGCUUUUGGAAGAGACCUCUCUCCUUCCCUGGAUUGUUGGAUGGUAGUUAUGUUUGUGAACGAGAGUGCGUUUGUGUAUGUGUGUUUGUGUGUGGGAGGUGAUGAGGGGUGUGGACUUUCUCAGAGAGGAAAGCAGAGAUGGGAGAUGCGCUGAAGAAAAUGUUCCGGAAUGACUCUGAGGUGGUAGUCUACACCCUGCAGGAAUUUAGACUUAGUCCCAAACAGGUCGGUAAAUUCUCUUUUUUAAACCAGUUUUUUGUUGUUCGUUCCCUCUCUGCCACUACUACUUAUCAUGAACUUUUUUUUUAUCUCCUUCAUGCUACUUAUUAUAAUCUUUAAUUAUAUUCUUGACUUAUUUUCUUAUUUUUUGUCUGUCGCAGCUAAAAGACUAUAAAGUUUUCAGGGCUAGGAACUUCUGUGUCUAGUUCACUGAUUAUCACCAGGUUUUAGAACCGUGUCUUAGCAUGUGGAAAUAGCGUUCAUUGGUUGAAUGGAGUAGGAGCUUUUCUAGAGAUCCAAGAAUACAUUUUCUCCAGUUUCUUGCUCUCACCCCCUUGCAAAAGCAAGAAAAGAGAUAGAUUACAAUAUCACCGCAUGUGCACAUCAGCACGAAUUCUGACAGUCCUUUUCCAAACAGAAUGGAAUAAUUUUCCUGUAGGUCAGCUUUUAACAUGAAAUGUUAUUUUCUCCAGCCGCAGUUGGACCACCAGCAGUUUCAUAGCUCGGUGUCUGACAAACAAAUUUCUCACCAUCUGCUUUUAAUUUUGCAAGGGCCUUCCAAAAGGCACUUUUGAAAACACAUUGAAGCAGAACUUAAGAUAGCUUUAAAAGAAGAGCAUAAAGUUUCUUCCAAAAACAGUGACCCAAAGGGUUAGAAAUUAAUUAAUAAAUACUUUUUGGCAACAAAAACAGCAAAAACAGAAUGACAGAAAGCUUCAUCAUUCUAUGAUAGUUGCAGAUAAUGACCAGAAAGAAAUGAGACAUAAACAUAGUAAAAAAAAAUAUUUUAGAUACCCUGAAAUUUCCUGAAGAAACAUCUUAACAAACACUAUAGAUUUCUAAUCCUACCAGUGAUAUUUGAGCCAUUGCUUUGCCUGUGAUGUAGAAGUUUACAGCAAAGGAUUCUGUUUUCUUUUUCAUACUCUAAAACAUAAACUAUUCACAAAUGGGAAAAGAUAUAUUUUUAAAAGAUUUUAUUUAUUUAUUUGACAGAGAUCACAAGUAGGCAGAGAGGCAGGCAGAGAGAGAGAGGAGGAAGCAGGCUUCUUGCUGAGCAGAGAGCCCGAUGUGGGACUCAAUUCCAGGACCCCGAGAUCAUGACCUGAGCUGAAGGCAGAGGCUUUAGCCCACUGAGCCACCCAGGUGCCCCAGAAAAGAUAUUUUUUUAAAAAAUAUUCUCACAGAGUGUUUUUCAAUUUUGGAGAGACCACAUUAAUUUUGCCAAUUUUUCCAAUCAAGAUCUCUAUCUCUUGAUAUUUCAUUUAUUGAGCAGCUACUCUGUGCUAAGCACCUUGUUAUACUUACUUUUGGACAAGAUGGCAGGACCCCAGCUCUUAUAGGUGCUCAUAAUUUAGUUGGCAGAGUGUACUAAGUGUUCUAACACAUAUUUUAUAUUUUAAAAUGCACUGAUAACAGGAAAUUUAAAAGGUGAAUUGCUGAAAUCUGCCACAAUGUAUAACUUUUGAUGACCCGUCACUGAAGUAUGUGUAUGAGCGUUUGAGAAAUCUAGUUAUUAUAGAGCCUUGGGACUCUAAUAAUAUAAAGGGAUCAUAGAGGUCAUCUAAUCCAUUCCCUGUGUCAAAUAAUAGCAGAAGAAAAUAAUCCUAGAAAAUAAAAAUCCAGUCCAUUUUUAUGUCUUUCUUAAUGUGACUUCCUAAAAAUGAAGACACAUUUGUUUUAGGAUAAGGAGGUUGUAAUGGUACUUUUAAAACAGAUACUCUUGGAAUUCUGCUGCUUUGUUCUUGAAUUAUAAGACUUAAGAGACAAGAAAUUGAUUUUUAGGAAUUUCAAAAACUAAAGAGCUGAGAAAGAAAAAUGUUUUCUAUUUCCAGAAAGAAACAGAAACCUAAAUAUUAAACUAAGAGGCAGUAAACUUUGUGUGGUCUGGGACACAAAACAAGGAUAUUUAACCAACCAAAACAUCUUAAUAAAUGCAAUUAUUCUACCCUGUAAUCCACACAGGCUGUUGGUGUCUUCUUUAUUUGGGAAAUAUGCCCUGUGACUUGUCACCACUGCAGAUGUCCAUUACGGUUCUUCUUUAGAGAAACCUGAUGUAGGGACUCCUCGCACAGAUCCUUGCACCCCUCUUGUCCCCGGCCGCUGGACACAGACCUCGUCUGCCUGCGAUCUCCUCACGCAGGCCUCCCCUUGCCAUUUUUGCUUCUUCUGCUUAGUCCUUGCUCCCUACUGACAUCCCCUUGUUAAGGAAAAUUAUCCAGAGCUUGGAAAUAAAGCCAAGAGAGCGUAUCGUGUCUCCUCCUCCUCAUACAGGGCAGUGCUUAACAAGCCCUCGCCCACCAGGGAUUCCUCAGUCAUCUUGGGAAAUGCACCUGCAUUUGAGGCUCCAAGGACUUAGCUGAUUAAUGGCUCAGGCCUGGGAAGUUACGUGUUAAUUUAGGGGUUUGUUUCCAGUCAAGGUGCGCGUGUUGCUGUGGUCUGAAAGGCAGCCCAGAGGCUAUGGGGGUUAUGGUUUCAUUUUCCUGUAAGACAUUCACCAGUUUACUAUCUAACUUAGGAAUCAUAUUCUAACAUUCUUCCUCAAAAUGUUUAUAAAUACUCAGUUCCUCAAAAUGCUCUGUAUACCAGUUUUACCAUUUUCCUAGCUUUUUCCAUUCAUUGACAGGUUGAGUAAAACCUUUGAUAUAUAUUCAGUUCUUAUUUGUACAAGUCAAGUGUUGUUUUUUUUUUUUUUUAAAGAUUUUAUUCAUUUGAGAGAGAGAGAGUGAGAGAGCAUAAGAGCAGAGAAGGUCAGAGGGAGAAGCAGAGUCCCCGUGAAGCUGGGAAUCCAAUGCAGGACUCGAUCCCGGGACUCCAGGAUCACGACCUGAGCCGAAGGCAGUCGCUUAACCAACUGAGCCACCCAGGUGCCCCUGUACGAGUCAAAUUUUAACUUUCUGAAAACUACAUAUAUUUUUUGGAAGCGUCUAUUGAUUUUUCCAGUGAGGCAUGGAAUUCAGCCCGGCUCACCCCCUCCUAUUUUAGGGGAGAGGCACUAUUUGCUUACUGAUUAAAAUGGAAUUAAUAUGGCCAGCCUCUGGGAAGUUUAUGUGGUCUGCCAGCUCCUACUCUCCUCAAUACUUACACUGGGUUCAAAGGGAAGGUCUUACAUUGAAGGUCAAGUUUAAGAAUCUUUGAGGAGCUUGGGAUAGAGAAUAUUAAUGUUUCUAACACAUUGUGCGUUAAACUGGUGUCCUUUUGGGGUUACCCAGAGGGCUUUAUCACAUAUCUUGAUAUCCAUGGCAAAGUGCAAGCAGAUUCCUACCAACUAUUAUAUAAAAGACCAUUUUGAAUGUAACCGGAUGGUAUGAUCAUGGACAUCUGUCCUCUUUGCCUGCCUGGCAUCUCUGUCUUGAAAUAGUACCUUGGUUUUACUCAAUUACCCUUGGAGUAUUAGUGGGAGUUUGUUUGUUUGUUUGUUUGUUUCUUUCUUUUUUUAAAGAUUUUAUUUAUUUAUUUAACAGAGAUCACAAGUAGACAGAGAGGCAGGCAGAGGGGGGCAGGCUCCCUGCUGAGCAGAGAGCCCGAUGUGGGGCUCGAUCCCAGGACCCUGAUAUCAUGACCUGAGCCAAAGGCAGAGGCUUUAACCCACUGAGCCACCCAGACACCCCUAGUGGGAGUUUCAGUGAGAAUGUCUCAUCAUCUCCUGGGUCGGGGAUGAGCACUCAACUCCCAACCAAGCCAGCUGAUGCUCUGGAAUUUGAACCUUAAGUGAGAAACAGUCAUCUGAAAUAACGACUGUGGCUCAUUUAUCCCAAGGACAGGGGCCUGAAGAGACUGCCAGCUGGUUCCCGAUACCUCCAUCUCCAAAGCUGCCUGGAUCCUGCCCUUACUGAGACCUGGUUCUCCAGCUUUCUUUCUAUUGCGCGAGCUAUCCCGUGACUUCCAGUUUAUUCCUUUUUUUGCUUCUGUUAGAGAGACUAGAUUUCUAGUGUUUGUAAACAGAGAGUGCUGACAGAUUUGGGGAUUAUAUGCGUCUCAUUAAAAUGGAAAUAUCAAAUAUUAUAUUGUUAUUUUAUUGCCUUUUAGAACUAAAAAUAGUAAUUGUAAUAGUUAGUAAGUAGCAUUUACCAAGUGCCUGCUGCUGCCCUAGAUUAACCCUAGAUUUGGUCCUCAUAGUAGCGCCAGGACAUGGAGAAAUGGAGGGUCAGAGAGGUCAAAUAACUUGAUGUAGUUUACACACUGGUAAGGCAUGGUACCAGGAUUUGAACUUUGGCUGUCUGGUGCCACAUCCCUUGCUCUUUUUUUCUUUUUUCUUUUUUUAAGAUUUUUAUUUAUGUAUUUAUUUGACAGAGAGGGAGAGAUCACAAGCAGGGGGAGUGGCAGGCAGAGGGAGAAGGAGAAGCAGACUCCCCCGUGAGCAGAGGAGCCCGACAACGAUGCUGGACUCAAUCCCAGGAACCUGGGAUCCUGCCUUGAGCCGAAGGCGGAUGCCCAACUGACUGAACCACCCAGCAGCCCCUCACAUCUCUUAUUGUUAAUCACAUCUCUCCUCAGAACUGAAGACACCCCGUAAAUUACGGGAGGAGCCACUUUGCAGGUGCCCCCCUGCUGCUGAGGCCUCUUCUGCCCGGUGGCGACUUCGCAUUUCGCAUCUAACACGGUCCGAGAGCUGGUCUGAAUGUUGCGUUUGCUGAAACACUGGCAUGAAGAAGAAUGUUCUCCGCUUUCCUGCUUUUAAGUGGCUCCACAGUGCGGACCAAAGGAGAGCUUUCCGGCCUCCGGGGUGCCUGUCUGGGUUUCUGGAAGGAAUGGCUUCCUCAGCUUUUCCACACUAGCUCUGUGUAUGGGAUUAACAGGGUCAGCAGCAGCUCUGGACAGGGAAUCUGAGUUAAUGUUUUCACAGACAGAACUCUAGACGACAACUGUGGAAUUCAUCUUCAGUUUUCUGCUCCUUCUCCAAAUCCGGAUUCGCUACUUUCUUUGUAUCACUAGUCUUUCCCUAGAGGUCUGGUUCCGAUUGGGGCCCCAUCCAACUGAACUUAUUAUUGAUUGAAGGAAUGACCACAGGGGACACCACGCUAUGUCAACGUUUCCUCUUCUUACCUGCCUGAUAUUAUUACCUGAUCAGGGUGAAUCUGUCAGAGCACCAGCAUCGCUAGAGAACCUUUUACAAACAUGCAGAUUUCUAGGCCUAUGCCAGACCUCUUGGAGGUGGGAUCCAAGAAUCUGAUUUUGAUGUCACAUUUGGAAACCACCAGCACGAAGGGAAGCCUUUGGAGAAUACUUGGGAUCUUUGACCCUUAACAUGGUCCUCAGCUUCUCUGGGCAUUGAUUUCACAAUCUGUAGAAUUGGGAAACAGGUCAUCUCUGUUCACCUCCCAAAAUGUGGGAAAACAGCUGGGAAAACAUUCAGGCAAAUGAUUUACUAUUAUUAUUUUCAAGGAAAGACAAUUUAGUAGGUGUUUGUGCUCUACUAGGGAAGUGGAGCUUGCAAAGUACAAGUGUGACAAAUCACAAAAUUCUCUCAAAUGCAGAUUGUAUGGGACGUGUUUAUACAGACUCAUUGCCAUUGCUGGGCCUGGAUCUAAAAUUAAUCAUCGAAGUCAGUCUGAGGGUACUCUAGGGAGUUCUCUGCCUGCACCACCACUACAGUCCCGACCCCACACAAGGAGGCCUAAAGUUCAUUUAACAAAGGAAAGGUCUUUUGUUCCACAAGUAAAGAGAGGACCGCUCUUCAGUGCACACUCGUGAGAUUAACAGGUUUACUUGGACUGACCCACAGCGGCAUAGACUGCAGCGUCUGCGGGUGCGACUGGAGAGCAGCUCUGGAAGAGGCUCAGUGGUCCCGGGGAGGGGACUGGGGCCUCGGUGGGGUGGCAGGGAGGCGCCGCUCUCCAGCGGGUUAGAAAGUGCCAACUAGAAACAAUAAGGAAAUACGCACAAAUACACACUUCAAAAUCGUUUCUAGGACCAGCUCUGGUGUGACACCUUAUGUUUUUCCAAAGAGGCAGCAACCUCCUCUUUCUCUCAUCAGAUUUGCCUGUCUUUUCUGGUGAAAGUUCAACUAUCCUUAAGAUUUUUUUGAGGAGAUAAGCAUUUAAGUUUCUUAUGUUACAGUUGGCUCCCAUGUGAGGAGACGGGGGAAUGAGGAAGAGAGGCUAGGAACCCAGUUUCUAACUCAGCCUAGAAGCGGUGACAUUGAUAUUUGUCACCUGGUUAGUUGAACGAGUCUCAUUAAAAUUAGAAUUUAGAUUUCCCAGUACAGCCUCACAUUUUUGCUGGGUUCUUUCAAGAUACCUAUUAUUCCCUUGGAAGAAAAAAUUAUAUAAAGAAGUUUGCCAUCAGUUCUGCCAUUUCCCUUUUAAGAAAGAAAUCAUGUAUGUUCUGCUCAAGGUCAUGGAUAUUUUGGGAUUGAAAUAGCCAGCAAUCUUGACAUUUUUGGUCAACUCUUGCAGAAAGGCAGAAAAGCACGUUAGGAAAGAAUCCCAGGAAGUGCAGCUCUGGCUGGCAGAAAGCAAAAAGGAGACAGGGCCUCGCAGACGCCAGCCCUCCGCAGCCCGGGACUCUCGCUGUCUAGGAGCCCUGUGACGUGUCGCAGAUUUCGGGUCCUAAAGGGCUGCAGGCUCACACCAGUCAAAAACAAACACACCCCAAACCGAAAACAACUCGUCCCUGCCCGGAGGUUAGCGUUAAGGGAAAAAACAUUUUGUUCAUCUUCACGUGAGAGUACAAACAGACUUAUUUUGAAGCCAGUUCUAUGGCUUAGGCGUCUGUUAGGGAGACAGAAAGGAAGGAGGGGAAAUGAGCGAAGAAGGGGACAGCAGCUGUCUCUGUGUGUGUUACUUGGUUUCCUUUUACAUUUGUUCCUCUCCCAGGUUUGCUAGAGAGAAAACCACAUACACGACUGAUUUGAUAUUCAUUCUUUUUCCUAGCAAGAGGUCAGAGAAGCUUGUAUAACCCAACUCUUUUUCCAGUAUUACUCCUUCAGCGAAGUCUCCGUUUUGACCUGCGAAUCAGAGUCGCCGAGGGCUUCGGAGGGGGCGCGAACCUUGACACCAGCCGUCCCCUUCCCUCCCACGUGUUUGCUGCUAGUUCUCCGGCCACAGCAGGCGCAGGACAACAGCUGGCUCAGCUCUUACUACGGACAGAAAGAAACGUGUACACUCUGGAUUUCAUUUUCUGCUGACACCAUGUGUUUGAACGACAUUUGGACAUUUUGGGUGGAAAAGGCCUCCUAAAUCAGAAGGUCCGUCCUUCAGCAGUGCAGGCGCAGCACUUGAAAACACACCCUCGGGCGCUGUGGACCAGAGUUCUCAUUUUGUUAGAAAAACCUCACGUCUCUUCUGUCAUGACUGGCUCUUUCCUGUGGGGAAAAUACAAUUUAGACUUUCCCCUAUGUCAUUUUUUGAGGUUAGCACAUGCAUUUUUAUCAUGUGCUCAUUCGUGCGGUUCCGUAAGGUCCUUGGUGAGCUCUUGCUCCCGCAGCGCCGCUCGCCAGUGCCGUCACCCCAAGCAGGGAUACCAUAAGGAAGUCGGUCUGGAGGACUCGGGGAGGGGGUCAUCGAGUCCUUCACUUGACUUUCGGCCAAGCUGCACCAACUAAAUAUCCAGUCUAAGAACGUGUGCUUCCUGUGAAUGGUUUAGCACAAGCCCGUCAUCUACGUAUACUACAGCUCUGAGGCCUUCUGAUAGAGGUUCUAGAGGUCCCGCUGCCUGGGUAAGGGGUUGGCUGGGUGCAGUGGAGCUUUUAGGAUUACACAGUAAUAACCACUUCAUGGGAUUACAGAGGAUUCAAUGAGAGAAGUCGGUAAAGCAUCCAGUAUGUUCCCUGACAGGCAGUACAUGCUCCUUCAAAAUGUUACUUUCUGGGCUAAUUCACCUAGUUUGUCCACAAUCCACUUGAAUUAAUUAUAUUGUCUAAAAGGGGAGCAAACAAAAUCCCCAGUUGGGAAAGGGGCUGGGUUCCCAGUCAGAUAUAAUUCUUGUUUUGUGAUGUUUCGUGGGAUUUAACCUCUAGGUAUCAUAGAUCUUAAAACAAUUAUUAAUGAGUGUCUACAGAAGAAGUUUGAGAUACAGUCUCAGAGGAGUGCAUGGAUUGUGACCCGGUGCGAGACGUACACGAUGUAUUUUCUAUCUGUACUUGUCGAUCUUUUCUUUUACCUGUGACAUCUGUCCCUAGCAGUGCAGAGAGGGAUCACGUUGGAGUCUUGGAAGACUGCCAGAUCACUUCUUUUUGAAGUGGCUGGUGCAGUUUCUGAGAUGAGGGAAAUUCCUGCUUGAAAUCCUGUUUAUUUUUAGACUUAAGUUUGUAUCAUGUGAGUCGAAACCUGGAAUUUGUAUAUGAAAUUGCUCUUGAAGUGUAAGAUACAUAGAGAGCCAGUUGUGACUGGUUUGUUUAAGCCCAGAGCAAGGUAAGACUGUGAGGGGGAGGGACAGAUGAGCCUGCCAGCGCAUCUCAAGACCGUGCAAACCAGUCGGACAUGCUCAUGGGAGCGGGAUGCACCCUGGGGGAAACCAGAUCCAAAAAUAAUGGCCUGUAAGUGUCAGGGUGUAAAGGUGUCUUAACUUGGAUCUUCUGAGGUCGACGGAUUUUGACAAAGAUUUGCAAAAGCACAACUCUGUAUUGUGGAAGUUCAUCUACAAUUAGAAAUUAGGGAUGUGGAUUUUCAUAUGUGGUUACAGUAAGCUUAAAACGGGUUUCAGUCGUCUGACAUUCUACUUGUGAUGAUACAGAACACUGUUCGGUCCUUUCGUUGAUGCCUGAAACGGUGACUGUGGUACAGUCGUAAUGUUUCUCAAGACUCUGUGCACACGCGGGGGUCUGAAGACAUUCUCAGUUCCCUGUGUUUUGAGGGCUGAGCGUGUGUGUGUGCAUGUGUGUGUUUUCAGUUUAAUGAUGAUAUUUAAAAUUGUUGUUUACCCUUCCAUAAAUAAGAGUUUUCUUUUUACAGUGGUGAUUUAUAACUAAAAGGUGCUUUCAUAACUUGUAUCUCAGAUCAUUGUGUUUUAAACCCAGAGCUUGGUGAUUCUUAUAAAGUUAUCUAUUCUUUUUAUUCAAGCAUGAGAAACACUGAAGCUUGGACAGGUCAUUCAAUCCCGAGCCCUAAUUUCUUGAUUUUUAAAUUAUGAUUUAUUGUCUCCUUCAGAAGGUUUCUCUGGAUUAAAUGAAGACAAUAUUUAUAAGUCCUUGGGACUCUGUAGGUCCUAAAUAAAAGGUUAGUUCCCUUCUCUUCCUGAGCUCCUGUUCCAUUUCAUGGGGACAUACACGGGUACAAAACAGAUAGAGAAAGGACUCCAAUUCCAGAUGUUUAGUUCUUCAGGAAGGUAGAAUGGUUUUUUAUUCUAAAAGCACUUUUUUGUAUUAAGAAAUCACAUGCAUUACAUUAUCUUCAUAUGCUUAUGUAAAUUUAAUAAUAAAAUUAAUAAAAUUUAAGUAUAGCUAGUGUAACUUCUCUAAUUUUAUAUGAGAAGUUUGGCACAUAGCCACAAAAUUAAUCAUACUGAUUUCCCACUUUAGGAGAUAUUUUUAUUUCUUUGAAUAUCGUAGUCCUCUGAAAAAAUUGCUUUGGAGGGAUCAAGGAAGGGUGUCUGUAUGUUAUUAAAAUAAGUGUAUAUAUUUCAGUACAAGAGAACCACAUUUGAUCUAAAAAUAAAUGAUUUGAUUUCUAAUA